RNAcentral lists this ribosomal RNA (159 nucleotides) under Lactiplantibacillus plantarum. RNAcentral's name for it is "Lactobacillus plantarum partial 16S ribosomal RNA". It matches the Rfam family "Bacterial small subunit ribosomal RNA", at positions 1383 to 1533 of the family's 1533-position model. The record is from RNAcentral. Lineage: Bacteria; Bacillati; Bacillota; Bacilli; Lactobacillales; Lactobacillaceae.
GUACACACCGCCCGUCACACCAUGGAAGUUUGCAAUGCCCAAAGUCGGUGGCCUAACCAUUUGGAGGGAACCGCCUAAGGCAGGGCAGAUGACUGGGGUGAAGUCGUAACAAGGUAGCCGUAGGAGAACCUGCGGCUGGAUCACCUCCUUUCUAAGGAA